GUUAAUCUUUCAAAUUAUUCAAUAAUAACUGGAUUUGUCUUAACAUAUCCUUUUAUAAACCCAGAUGUGCUAUGUAGUAGCAAGAGGUGGGUUUUUUUUUUACCAUGUAAUCAUGUAGAAGAUAUAUCCUUAAAAAGGACUUAGUUUCAAUUAAGUUGCAAGUUCAAAUUUUAAAAAUGGCGAGAGCUUGAAGAGAAAAGAAGGGGUUUUGGCAUGUAGAAAAGUUUCAAUCUUUUACAUCUUCAGAACUCAAGCAUGAACAGCCGCGCCCCCACUCCUCAAGGACGCUACAAAAGGCUCUCUCUUGGAUUAUCUCGAUGUACCUCGGAUCAAAAUAGAGCAUUUUUGCAAUGGCUUGCUGCUUUGCUCUUCCGCCGCUUACUUGCUAAAACCCGCUGCGGGGGGGGCUCCUGCAAAUCUUGUAGACUAUUGUAGCUAUGUGGUCAAUGAUGACGAUCGUGGGCAAAGGUAUUUUAUUUGCAAUCCACCUAAGAGGCAAUUCCAGAGACUUGCUUUCCCUAGUUAAAUAGUAAUAUCUAAAUUUUUUACUGCCUCAUUAUGCAUGGCUUGUUUUGGCCUUUGAUCCUUUAAAGUCACCUAGCUACAAUAUAAUUCUCUUGUGCCUAUUGGAUGUAAUAUCGGGAUAUGGAAUUGAUGUUUAUUCAUUAAAGACAGAAUCAUGGACUCAGGCACCAAUCCCUUUUGAAAGGCCAUUCGCAAUGUUCAACUGUGACGGUGUUUAUUUUGUAAUGGUGCCAUUUAUUGGUACAGUAUAGGAGCACUUUAGUGUAUUUUGAAGACAAUAGCAAUACCUCCUAUGUUAUUCAUGAAUAUGCCCCAAGACACGGAUUCAGUAAUUUGGGGAGUCUCGUGGCCAUUUGAACAUGGCAGGUGCCGAUGAGCUCUCCAGUUUUUCACAAUUCUACGUCUUGGAGAUGCCAUCUAAUCAUUCUGGUUGGUUUGUAAGAUACCAUGUGGAUCUUCACUAGAGAAAAUCCUUGCGCGCUUUCAGUGUUAAGGGUUCUUCGUACUGAAAAGGAAGAAGAGUCGAAGCUUGUUCUACUCAUGAAUGGUGGUAGAGUUAUAUUUCAUAAUACUUGUGACGGGAUACCUAACAAUAUAUGUGAUUUGGAGCCUAAGCCAAGAGAUAACAGUAGCAGAGGCGAAUUGGAUUAUAGAAGUCGCGGUGCCUAUCAAUACUUUGAGACAAAAUGUAACAUUUAAGCCUUUCUGAUUGCUAGUGGAACGAUCCCUUCAUCUAAAGAA
Molecule: long non-coding RNA, 1266 nt
Organism: Populus nigra (black poplar)
Lineage: Eukaryota; Viridiplantae; Streptophyta; Magnoliopsida; Malpighiales; Salicaceae
Exons: 2
Source: RefSeq, a predicted model, not a curated record